This 1066-nucleotide ribosomal RNA is filed under the name human gut metagenome. RNAcentral's name for it is "bacterial SSU rRNA". It matches the Rfam family "Bacterial small subunit ribosomal RNA", at positions 438 to 1506 of the family's 1533-position model. The record is from RNAcentral.
GUUAGGGAGCAAGGCACUUUGUGUUGAGUGUACCUUUCGAAUAAGCACCGGCUAACUACGUGCCAGCAGCCGCGGUAAUACGUAGGGUGCAAGCGUUAUCCGGAAUUAUUGGGCGUAAAGGGCUCGUAGGCGGUUCGUCGCGUCCGGUGUGAAAGUCCAUCGCUUAACGGUGGAUCCGCGCCGGGUACGGGCGGGCUUGAGUGCGGUAGGGGAGACUGGAAUUCCCGGUGUAACGGUGGAAUGUGUAGAUAUCGGGAAGAACACCAAUGGCGAAGGCAGGUCUCUGGGCCGUUACUGACGCUGAGGAGCGAAAGCGUGGGGAGCGAACAGGAUUAGAUACCCUGGUAGUCCACGCCGUAAACGGUGGAUGCUGGAUGUGGGGCCCGUUCCACGGGUUCCGUGUCGGAGCUAACGCGUUAAGCAUCCCGCCUGGGGAGUACGGCCGCAAGGCUAAAACUCAAAGAAAUUGACGGGGGCCCGCACAAGCGGCGGAGCAUGCGGAUUAAUUCGAUGCAACGCGAAGAACCUUACCUGGGCUUGACAUGUUCCCGACGGCCCCAGAGAUGGGGUUUCCCUUCGGGGCGGGUUCACAGGUGGUGCAUGGUCGUCGUCAGCUCGUGUCGUGAGAUGUUGGGUUAAGUCCCGCAACGAGCGCAACCCUCGCCCCGUGUUGCCAGCGGAUUAUGCCGGGAACUCACGGGGGACCGCCGGGGUUAACUCGGAGGAAGGUGGGGAUGACGUCAGAUCAUCAUGCCCCUUACGUCCAGGGCUUCACGCAUGCUACAAUGGCCGGUACAACGGGAUGCGACAGUGCGAGCUGGAGCGGAUCCCUGAAAACCGGUCUCAGUUCGGAUCGCAGUCUGCAACUCGACUGCGUGAAGGCGGAGUCGCUAGUAAUCGCGAAUCAGCAACGUCGCGGUGAAUGCGUUCCCGGGCCUUGUACACACCGCCCGUCAAGUCAUGAAAGUGGGCAGCACCCGAAGCCGGUGGCCUAACCCCUUGCGGGAGGGAGCCGUCUAAGGUGAGGCUCGUGAUUGGGACUAAGUCGUAACAAGGUAGCCGUACC